ACGCCAGAAAGGAGGUGGUCCAGACAAUGAUCGACAGUUAUCGGACCGGCGAGGUGACUGUCCGCUAGGACGCCCCCGUCUAGGCCUCCGCCUGGAUGUCGGUGACGUCCCGGCGAAUCCACAGCAGGCACCGGACCCCGGGCAGCCGGUGGCCGAGCACGCUCUCGGCCCAGGUCCAACCGGCCCGCCUCCGGCGGAAGCGCGCCCGGGGUUCUUCACGC
Molecule: small RNA, 221 nt
Filed under: Thermobispora bispora DSM 43833
Lineage: Bacteria; Bacillati; Actinomycetota; Actinomycetes; Streptosporangiales; Streptosporangiaceae
Description: Actinobacteria sRNA Ms_IGR-5
Rfam family: Actinobacteria sRNA Ms_IGR-5
Source: Rfam by way of RNAcentral